ACUUCUCCUGAAGUUUAUAUUAAACUAUUUAUGGCUAUUAGAUGGGUAUGCGUCCUAUUAGUUAGUUGGUAAGGUAACGGCUUACCAAGGCAGCGAUAGGUACGGGGUCCUGAGAGGGAGACUCCCCACACUGGUACUGAGACACGGACCAGACUCCUACGGGAGGCAGCAGUGAGGAAUAUUGGACAAGUGGGCGAGAGCCUGAUCCAGCCAUGCCGCGUGCAGGAAGACUCGCCCUAUGGGUUGUAAACUGUCUUUUACAGAGGAAGAACCACCCCACGUGUGGGGGGUUUGACGGUACUCUGCGAAUAAGGAUCGGCUAACUCCGUG
This 330-nucleotide ribosomal RNA is filed under the name uncultured bacterium. RNAcentral describes it as "bacterial SSU rRNA". It matches the Rfam family "Bacterial small subunit ribosomal RNA", at positions 183 to 507 of the family's 1533-position model. The record is from RNAcentral.